GGAAUCUUCCACAAUGGACGAAAGUCUGAUGGAGCAACGCCGCGUGAGUGAAGAAGGUUUUCGGAUCGUAAAACUCUGUUGUUGGAGAAGAACACGUUUGAGAGUAACUGUUCAGACGUUGACGGUAUCCAACCAGAAAGCCACGGCUAACUACGUGCCAGCAGCCGCGGUAAUACGUAGGUGGCAAGCGUUAUCCGGAUUUAUUGGGUUUAAAGGGAGCGCAGGCGGCCUUUUAAGCGUGACGUGAAAUGCAGGUGCUCAACAUCUGAGCUGCGUCGCGAACUGGAGGGCUUGAGUGAGUUCGAUGUCAGCGGAAUUCGUGGUGUAGCGGUGAAAUGCUUAGAUAUCACGAAGAACCCCGAUUGCGAAGGCAGCUGGCAAGGCCUUUACUGACGCUAAAGCUCGAAGGUGCGGGUAUCGAACA
Molecule: ribosomal RNA, 424 nt
Filed under: uncultured bacterium
Lineage: Bacteria
Description: bacterial SSU rRNA
Rfam family: Bacterial small subunit ribosomal RNA
Source: RNAcentral